This 465-nucleotide ribosomal RNA is filed under the name Vreelandella stevensii. RNAcentral's name for it is "partial 16S ribosomal RNA". It matches the Rfam family "Bacterial small subunit ribosomal RNA", at positions 338 to 795 of the family's 1533-position model. The record is from RNAcentral. Lineage: Bacteria; Pseudomonadati; Pseudomonadota; Gammaproteobacteria; Oceanospirillales; Halomonadaceae.
CCUACGGGAGGCAGCAGUGGGGAAUAUUGGACAAUGGGGGCAACCCUGAUCCAGCCAUGCCGCGUGUGUGAAGAAGGCCCUCGGGUUGGAAAGCACUUUCAGUGAGGAAGAACGCCUGGUGGUUAAUACCCAUCAGGAAAGACAUCACUCACAGAAGAAGCACCGGCUAACUCCGUGCCAGCAGGCGCGGUAAUACGGAGGGUGCGAGCGUGAAUCGGAAUUACUGGGCGUAAAGCGCGCGUAGGUGGCUUGAUAAGCCGGUUGUGAAAGCCCCGGGCUCAACCUGGGAAAGGCAUCCGGAACUGUCAAGCUAGAGUGCAGAAGAGGAAGGUAGAAUUCCCGGUGUAGCGGUGAAAUGCGUAGAGAUCGGGAGGAAUACCAGUGGCGAAGGCGGCCUUCUGGACUGACACUGACACUGAGGUGCGAAAGCGUGGGUAGCAAACAGGAUUAGAUACCCUAGUAGUC